UGCGCAGGCGGUUUUGUAAGACAGACGUGAAAUCCCCGGGCUUAACCUGGGAACUGCGUUUGUGACUGCAAGGCUAGAGUAUGGCAGAGGGGGGUAGAAUUCCACGUGUAGCAGUGAAAUGCGUAGAGAUGUGGAGGAAUACCGAUGGCGAAGGCAGCCCCCUGGGUCAAUACUGACGCUCAUGCACGAAAGCGUGGGGAGCAAACAGGAUUAGAUACCCUGGUAGUCCACGCCCUAAACGAUGUCAACUAGGUGUUGGGGGAGAGACUUCCUUAGUACCGCAGCUAACGCGUGAAGUUGACCGCCUGGGAGUACGGCCGCAAGGUUGAA
Molecule: ribosomal RNA, 330 nt
Filed under: uncultured bacterium
Lineage: Bacteria
Description: bacterial SSU rRNA
Rfam family: Bacterial small subunit ribosomal RNA
Source: RNAcentral